This 199-nucleotide ribosomal RNA is filed under the name Salmonella enterica. RNAcentral describes it as "partial 23S ribosomal RNA". It matches the Rfam family "Bacterial large subunit ribosomal RNA", at positions 1 to 200 of the family's 2925-position model. The record is from RNAcentral. Lineage: Bacteria; Pseudomonadati; Pseudomonadota; Gammaproteobacteria; Enterobacterales; Enterobacteriaceae. RNAcentral also lists the same sequence under 3 other names.
GGUUAAGCGACUAAGCGUACACGGUGGAUGCCCUGGCAGUCAGAGGCGAUGAAGGGCGUGCUAAUCUGCGAUAAGCGCCGGUAAGGUGAUAUGAACCGUUAUAACCGGCGAUACCCGAAUGGGGAAACCCAGUGUGAUUCGUCACACUAUCAUUAACUGAAUCCAUAGGUUAAUGAGGCGAACCGGGGGAACUGAAACA